UGGUUGAUCAAUGAUUAAGAAUCGUUAUAGGGUUAAACGAUCAAUAUGAUUGACAUUUAACCUAGUGUAAGUGUUGCAGGAGGAUCAAUUAGUAAUUUCAUUGCUAAUUGACUUAAUUUUAUUAAGCCAAUGGAUUGAGAUUAAGUUUAAUUGAAUAUGAUUUAAUUAAAUUUGGUUUGGGCUUGAUUGGAUUGAGUCCAAUUGAUUUA
Molecule: long non-coding RNA, 209 nt
Filed under: Elaeis guineensis (African oil palm)
Lineage: Eukaryota; Viridiplantae; Streptophyta; Magnoliopsida; Arecales; Arecaceae
Description: long non-coding RNA (EGUI_LNC071814)
Source: RNAcentral